RNAcentral lists this long non-coding RNA (1177 nucleotides) under Vitis vinifera (wine grape). RNAcentral describes it as "long non-coding RNA (VVIN_LNC002287)". The record is from RNAcentral. Lineage: Eukaryota; Viridiplantae; Streptophyta; Magnoliopsida; Vitales; Vitaceae.
CCUACAGAGCAGAUAAAGAGUGUCAGUGAGUUCUGAGGUUAAUCUUCUCUACACUCUGUCUCUCAAUUAUUGGAUAUGCAACUUAACAUGAUCCUAACACAAUCCUCUAAAUGUAACUUGUAUCAUGGACAGAUUUAACGCUUACCCAGGGGAAAUGCUGCCAAUAGCCAAAACUAUUAAAGAGAUGCUCCCAAUCAGGUAUGGCACAAAAAAGCCCCAAUCCUACAGCAACAGUAUGAAUGAAACUGUUAGUGAGUGCCACCAUUUCUAAAUUGUUUCACAAGUAACUGCAUCAAUCUCACUGCUCAAGCAUAAAAAAGAAAAGGAGAAAAAAAAAAAGCUCAAGGAUGAUAAAGGAAAUAUCGCCCUUAAGGCAAGGAUCAUUGAGCCAAUUGAGGGACAUAAAAUAGAAAGCAAGUCAAACAUUUCUAGAAAGCUUAGUAAAACUUGAUAUAAGAAGCUGCAAGGGUAUUUUACCUUACGGACAUAUAAACAGGUAAGUGGAAAGUCAAUCUUGUAAAGAAUGCACAGGAGGGAUGAUAGGCAAUGCAGUAAUUAUUUGUUUUCCUUCUCGGACGUGUUCAAUGCCUAUCUAGAAACUAGUAAUUUGAAGAAGAAAAUUUAUUUGAAGCGCAUGCAGGCUGAAAAUUUCCAAAAUUUCAAAUUUCCAUAUGCAGUUGCAUUCCCCUCUCCAAAUUUAAUUCUCAAUGCAAAUUAAAUUUCAGUGCCACGGGAUUUCGAAAAGAAUAUUCACACAGAGAAAACGGAAAAGUUGAAAGCUCAUGAACAAAUCAGCAGACUUUCAAGCAUGUUUUAAGAUACCCAUGAAAAAGGUCUUCUCGUCUUGUCUCAGAGGCUGGUGCUUUGUCUGCAGUUUGACAGCAUGGAGACCUCCGGUGAGAGGCCCCUCAAAUUACUAGCUAUAAAGGUGACGAGGUCUUACUGUCUUAGAACUUAAGCUAAAAGGAAUUCUUUCUUAGAUCCCUAAUGGUUUGGCUGGCAUGGAACUCAUGUAUUGUUUUGUUCCUAUGUUUUUCAUUUAUAGAAAAUAUGUCUUGCCCCAAAACCAAAUGCCAGAUGCUGUUGGCUCUUAGUCUCUAGAAUCCUUUGUUUUCUUUGGUUUUCUUGUAUGCUCCCUCUGUAAUCGAACUAUGCCCCUCUAGCAUCUCUAAUUGAC